CACCGCCCCCAGCCCCCUGCCUGCAGCCCUCCACCUCGACGGUCCGACCACUGCUGCCUUUGCCCCCAACCACCCCACAUCAGCGCUGUCGAGCACGGAGCACCCCCACGGACGACCACUGUCAUCGAGCGACUCCACCGCAGAACUCCUCCCCAAGCAGGCCUCCUCCCUCCACCUGAGCAGGCGAGCACCGAGCGGGAUUGCCUCCUCGACGUCCUCUCCGAUCCCCCAAGCAGCGGAGCAUCCCUCUUCUCCUGUGACCAGCUCACUACCACAUCAACAUCCUCUGUCUGCCUCCUCUGCCCCAUCAAGAGUAUUUGGAAAAAGAAUGGAACAAGAAAGAUACUAAGACAAUGUUGAAGAACGAGAGGAAGAAUGGAACAAGAAAGAGACUAAGACAAUGUUCAAGAACGAGAGGAAGAGAGGCUAGCGAGAAUUAGAACAACAAACGGCGAGGAUUUUGAACGGUUUGGCCGCCUUACAUUUUCAAAUAUAAAUGAAGAAUUUGGAGCCCAGCUAGUCAGUGACAAACUAAAAGGAAGAAGAAGACAAUCAAAUAGUCAUCAAUUCUGUUCGCUUUACUUCGGUACAGGAAUAGCGUCACUUCUGCUGUACAAGAUAGCUGCAGAUUUCCC
This is a long non-coding RNA of Triticum dicoccoides, 635 nucleotides long. RefSeq lists it as uncharacterized. The transcript has 4 exons. The record is from RefSeq and is a predicted model, not a curated record. NCBI's taxonomy places the organism in Eukaryota, Viridiplantae, Streptophyta, Magnoliopsida, Poales, Poaceae.